GCCUUCGUAGCUCAGACUAGUAAAACUAGGAGCAAUAGGUAGAGCAACUGACUGUUAAUCAGGAGGUCGGGAGUUCGAGUCUCCCCGAAGGCG
This 93-nucleotide transfer RNA is filed under the name Candidatus Aenigmatarchaeota archaeon. RNAcentral's name for it is "tRNA-Asn". It matches the Rfam family "tRNA". From Rfam's summary of the family: Transfer RNA (tRNA) molecules are approximately 80 nucleotides in length. Their secondary structure includes four short double-helical elements and three loops (D, anti-codon, and T loops). The record is from RNAcentral. Lineage: Archaea; Nanobdellati; Candidatus Aenigmatarchaeota.